AUGACACGCUGGAGCAGGUGGGUCCCGGGGGCUGCCGAGGCAGGAGGAAGAUGGCGGCGGGGGCGAGGUAUUUUCAAAAGAAAUAAUUCCAGAUUGAUGGAUGAAAUUUUAAAACAACAGCAGGAACUUUUGGGCUUAGAUUGUUCGAAAUACCCACCAGAGUUUGCAAAUAGUAAUGACAAAGAUGAUCAAGUUUUAAAUUGCCAAUCGGCAGUGAAGGUGCUCUCCCCAGAAGAUGGAAAAGCAGAUAUUGUGAGAGCUGCUCAGGACUUUUGCCAAUUAGUAGCCCAGCAGCAAAAGAGAUCCACAGAUUUGGAUAUAGACAUGUUCGACAGUUUACUUAGGUCAACUGGUUUUCCUGAUCCUGAUUUAGUAUUGAAGUUUGGUCCUGUGGACAGCACAUUAGGCUUUCUUCCCUGGCACAUCAGAUUGACUGAGAUUAUCUCUUUGCCUUCCCACCUGAACAUCAGUUAUGAGGACUUUUUCUCUGCCCUUCGUCAGUAUGCAGCCUGUGAACAGCGUCUGGGAAAGUAG
Non-coding RNA from Leptonychotes weddellii (Weddell seal), 534 nucleotides. NCBI's taxonomy places the organism in Eukaryota, Metazoa, Chordata, Mammalia, Carnivora, Phocidae. The record is from RefSeq and is a predicted model, not a curated record.